This 582-nucleotide ribosomal RNA is filed under the name Triticum aestivum (bread wheat). RNAcentral describes it as "partial small subunit ribosomal RNA". Lineage: Eukaryota; Viridiplantae; Streptophyta; Magnoliopsida; Poales; Poaceae. The record is from RNAcentral.
AUGGCGCACAGCCUCGGAGGGCUCUACGCGCUGCAGUUCCUGGCAUGCGCCCCGCCCGCCUGGCGCGCGGCGCACGUGAAGCGGCUGGUGACGCUGUCCGCGCCGUGGGGCGGCUCCGUGCAGGAGAUGCUCACCUUCGCCUCCGGCAACACCCUCGAUGUGCCCUUCGUCGACCCCUCCCUCAUCCGCGACGAGCAGCGCAGCUCCGAGAGCAACCUCUGGCUGCUGCCCAUGCCCAAGGUCUUCGGCAACACCACACUUGUCGUGUCCCAGCGCCACAACCGCACCUACUCCGCCAAGAGCGUUACGCAGUUCCUCAACGACAUCGGGUUCGCCGACGGGGUUGAGCCAUACCGGGCGCGGAUAUGGCCGCUCGGUGAGGUCCUGCCGGAGCCCGGCAUGCCGGUCACGUGCCUCGUCGGCACCGGCGUCGACACCAUGGAGAGCCUCGUGUUCGGGGACGGGGGGUUCGACGCGGGUCCCGUCAAGGUCGUGUAUGGCGACGACGACGGGACGGUGAACCUCGCCAGCCUCAUGGGACCGAUCAAGGCCUGGUCCGACUCGCCGGCGCAGGUCCUGUAG